Long non-coding RNA from Nothobranchius furzeri (turquoise killifish), 508 nucleotides. RefSeq lists it as uncharacterized. The record is from RefSeq and is a predicted model, not a curated record. NCBI's taxonomy places the organism in Eukaryota, Metazoa, Chordata, Actinopteri, Cyprinodontiformes, Nothobranchiidae.
GUGUGCCUCAGAGUCUUACUCCACCCACGUAUCAAUUUUAAAAACUGCAACAUUGGUAGGCGUUGCCUGGAGGACCGAGAGGGCAGAGCCGCGGCAGUGACGAAGACAACGGCUAACUAGACGAAGCUAGCUCCCUUCACUCUGAGCAGUCAUUAGAAGUGGAGGACGUUUCUCCCCCUCCUUACCCAGACACUCGAGAAGAAAGGGACCAAGUCUAUUUGGAGGAGACAAGCGGACCUGAGCCUUAUUGUUUUGAGCUUGUGAGUUGCCUGAAAUUACCGGAACCGACCCAACAGAACCAUCUCUGAAUGUGAUCCUCUGGUGUCUGCAGCUGGUCUCCUGCUGGUGUCGUCAGGAUCAGGAGCUUCCAGAAGAAUGUGCCUUUCAAUGACUCUUUCCCCCUUAUUUGUUAUAUUAAUUAAAUAAAUCUCAAUUUAUAUAUUUCCUGUUUUUGUUCAUGUCCAUAAAUACUUAAACAUGCUUGAAAUUAAAACGAGCUUUUAACAGU